RNAcentral lists this ribosomal RNA (464 nucleotides) under uncultured bacterium. RNAcentral's name for it is "bacterial SSU rRNA". It matches the Rfam family "Bacterial small subunit ribosomal RNA", at positions 28 to 507 of the family's 1533-position model. The record is from RNAcentral.
GACGAACGCUGGCGGCACGCUUAACACAUGCAAGUCGAACGGGGUAGAGGAACUUCGGUUUUCUACUUAGUGGCGAACGGGCGAGUAACGCGUGAAGAACCUGCCUUUCAGUGGGGGACAACAGUUGGAAACGACUGCUAAUACCGCAUAAUGUUAUUUGGGGGCAUCUCCGAAUAACCAAAGCUUAAUGUGCUGAGAGAUGGUCUCGCGUCUGAUUAGCUAGAUGGUGGGGUAACGGCUCACCAUGGCGACGAUCAGUAGCCGGUCUGAGAGGAUGAACGGCCACAUUGGGACUGAGAUACGGCCCAGACUCCUACGGGAGGCAGCAGUGAGGGAUAUUCGGCAAUGGGGGAAACCCUGACCGAGCAAUGCCGCGUGAGGGAUGACGGUUUUCGGAUUGUAAACCUCUGUCCUCUGUGAAGAUAAUGACGGUAGCAGAGGAGGAAGCUCCGGCUAACUACGUG